GCCGAGGUAGCUCAGGGGUAGAGCACCUCCUUGGUAAGGAGGUGGCCGUGGGUUCAAUUCCCAUCCUCGGCU
Molecule: transfer RNA, 72 nt
Filed under: Elusimicrobiota bacterium
Lineage: Bacteria; Pseudomonadati; Elusimicrobiota
Also listed under: 1 other name
Description: Elusimicrobia bacterium (hot springs metagenome) tRNA-Thr
Rfam family: tRNA
About the family: Transfer RNA (tRNA) molecules are approximately 80 nucleotides in length. Their secondary structure includes four short double-helical elements and three loops (D, anti-codon, and T loops). Further hydrogen bonds mediate the characteristic L-shaped molecular structure. tRNAs have two regions of fundamental functional importance: the anti-codon, which is responsible for specific mRNA codon recognition, and the 3' end, to which the tRNAs corresponding amino acid is attached (by aminoacyl-tRNA synthetases). tRNAs cope with the degeneracy of the genetic code in two manners: having more than one tRNA (with a specific anti-codon) for a particular amino acid; and 'wobble' base-pairing, i.e. permitting non-standard base-pairing at the 3rd anti-codon position.
Source: RNAcentral